GAUGAAGAACGCAGCGAAAUGCGAUACGUAGUGUGAAUUGCAGAAUUCCGUGAACCAUCAAAUCUUUGAACGCAUAUUGCGCUCGAGGCUUCGGCCGAGAGCAUGUCUGCCUCAGCGUCGGUAUUACCCCUCGCUUCUCAAUCCCUGGUUGAUGCCUGCCUGCCUUUGCAGUUGGCUAGAAGCGGAUCUGGCUUUCCCAAUUGCCUUUGGUAGUUGGGUCAGCUGAAGCACAGAGGCUUGAGCAAGGACCCUUAUUGGGCUUCAACUGGAUAGGUAGAACUGGUCUUAGGACCAACUACACGAAGUUGUUGCUUGUGGUCUUUGUCUGGAGGCCAGCAGGAAACCUUUAUACCUUCGACCUGAGCUCAGGCAAGAUUACCCGCUGAACUUAAGCAUAUCAAUAAGCGGAGGA
Molecule: unclassified non-coding RNA, 412 nt
Filed under: soil metagenome
Description: partial contains 5.8S ribosomal RNA, internal transcribed spacer 2, and large subunit ribosomal RNA
Rfam family: 5.8S ribosomal RNA (bases 1-120)
Source: RNAcentral